Molecule: unclassified non-coding RNA, 341 nt
Filed under: soil metagenome
Description: partial contains 5.8S ribosomal RNA, internal transcribed spacer 2, and large subunit ribosomal RNA
Rfam family: 5.8S ribosomal RNA (bases 1-119)
Source: RNAcentral
GAUGAAGAACGUAGCAAAUGCGAUAAGUAGUGUGAAUUGCAGAAUUCAGUGAAUCAUCGAAUCUUUGAACGCAUAUUGCGGCCAUAGGUAUUCCUUUGGCCAUGCCUGUUCGAGCGUCAUUUACACCCUCAAGCCUAGCUUGGUGUUGGGCGCCUGUCCCGCCGUUUUCGCGCGCGGACUCGCCUCAAAGUCAUUGGCGGCGGUCGUGCCGGCCCCCUCGCGCAGCACAUUUGCGCUUCUCGGAGGCCCGGCGGAUCCGCGCUCCAGCAAGACCUUUCACGACUUGACCUCGGAUCAGGUAGGGAUACCCGCUGAACUUAAGCAUAUCAAUAAGCGGAGGA